This 307-nucleotide unclassified non-coding RNA is filed under the name plant metagenome. Its description in RNAcentral is "partial contains 5.8S ribosomal RNA, internal transcribed spacer 2, and large subunit ribosomal RNA". The stretch from base 1 to 105 matches the Rfam family "5.8S ribosomal RNA", at positions 50 to 154 of the family's 154-position model. The record is from RNAcentral.
GAAAUGCGAUAAGUAAUGUGAGUUGCAGAAUUCAGUGAAUCAUCGAAUCUUUGAACGCACAUUGCGCCCGCCAGCACUCUGGCGGGCAUGCCUGUUCGAGCGUCAUUUCAACCCUCAGAACCCCUUGCGGGAUCUGGCGUUGGGGAUUGGCAUCCAGCCAGCCCCGAAAUCUAGUGGCGGUCCCUCCGCGACCUCCCCUGUGCAGUAGCGAUACCUCGCAGCGGGACAGCGGUCUGACCACGCCGUAAAACCCCCAACUUCUCAAGGUUGACCUCGAAUCAGGUAGGAAUACCCGCUGAACUUAAGC